This 468-nucleotide ribosomal RNA is filed under the name uncultured bacterium. Its description in RNAcentral is "partial 16S ribosomal RNA". It matches the Rfam family "Bacterial small subunit ribosomal RNA", at positions 28 to 507 of the family's 1533-position model. The record is from RNAcentral.
GACGAACGCUGGCGGCGUGCUUAACACAUGCAAGUCGAACGGAAAGGCCCUGCUUUUGUGGGGUGCUCGAGUGGCGAACGGGUGAGUAACACGUGAGUAACCUGCCCUUGACUUUGGGAUAACUUCAGGAAACUGGGGCUAAUACCGGAUAGGAGCUCCUGCUGCAUGGGGGGGGUUGGAAAGUUUCGGCGGUUGGGGAUGGACUCGGGGCUUAUCAGCUUGUUGGUGGGGUAGUGGCUUACCAAGGCUUUGACGGGUAGCCGGCCUGAGAGGGUGACCGGCCACAUUGGGACUGAGAUACGGCCCAGACUCCUACGGGAGGCAGCAGUGGGGAAUAUUGCACAAUGGGCGGAAGCCUGAUGCAGCAACGCCGCGUGCGGGAUGACGGCCUUCGGGUUGUAAACCGCUUUCGCCUGUGACGAAGCGUGAGUGACGGUAAUGGGUAAAGAAGCACCGGCUAACUACGUG